GCUGGGUGUGGUGGUGCGCGCCUGUAGUCCCAGCUACUAGGGAAGCUGAGGCAGGAGGAUAGCUUGAGCCCAGGGAGUUGGAAGAUGUGGAAAGUUGUGAUCCUGCCACUGCACUCCAGCCUGGGUAACAGAGUGAGACCCUGCCUCAA
Molecule: non-coding RNA, 149 nt
Filed under: Homo sapiens (human)
Lineage: Eukaryota; Metazoa; Chordata; Mammalia; Primates; Hominidae
Source: Rfam by way of RNAcentral